Molecule: long non-coding RNA, 5036 nt
Filed under: Homo sapiens (human)
Lineage: Eukaryota; Metazoa; Chordata; Mammalia; Primates; Hominidae
Description: HSALNT0228217
Source: RNAcentral
CCAAUCUCCCAAAUCCACAUGUUGAAGUUCUCACUCCCAAUGUGCCUGUAUUUGGAGACAGGGCCCUUUCAGAGAUACUUAAAAUAAGCCAGGUUAUAAGGGUGGGGCCCUAAUCUGAUAGGACCUGUGUCCUUACAAGAAGAGGAAGAAACAUGAUAGGAAAGACCAUGUGAGAACACAGUGAGAAGGUGGCCGUCUGCAAGGCAGGAAGAGAGCCCUCACCAGAAACCAACCCUGCUGUCCUACCUUGAUCUUGGACUUCUACCCUCCAGAACUGUGAGAAAAUAAGUGCCUGUUGUUUAAUCUCCCAGUCUGUGAUAUUUUGUUUUGGCAGCCUGAGCUGCCUAAUAUGAUAACCUGAUCUUGGAAGUGACAUCUCACCACUUUUGCCAGUUCUAUUCCUUAGAAGCAAGUCAUCAGGUUCAGCCCACACUCUAGGGAGGAGGUUCCACAAGGGCAUAAAUACGAGAAUGAGAGGGUUGGAAGCCACUUAGAGGCUGCCUAUCACGGGCACUGCUGUCUCUUCCUAAGAUGGCUAAAAUAUAAUAAUAUUUAACAUUUAUCUAGCAUUUGCAGUUAGUAUAUACUAAACACGGAUGAUUCAUUAAUUCUCUCAACAAAUGUGUGUGUGAGGUAUUAUAAUUAUUCCAAUUUUACAGACGGGGAGACCGAGUCUCAGAAAGGUCAAGUAAUGUGCCCAGGGUCACAUAACAAGUAAAGGACAGGACUGCUAUCUGAACAUAAGUAACUCGCUCAGAGGUCUCACCCUCCCACUCUUGUUUUCCUCCAAUCUGCUACCAACACAAUAGCCAGAGCAUUUGCUCUGUCACCCAGGCUGGAGUGCAGUGGUGUGAUCUCAGCCCACUGCAACCUCCGCCUCCCAGGUUCAAACUAUUCUCAUGCCCCAGCCUCCUUAGUAGCUGGGAUUACAGGUGUGUGCCACCACACCCAGCUAAUUUUUGUAUAUUUAGUGGAGACAGGGUUUCACCAUGUUGGUUAGGCUGGUCUCGAACUCCUGGCCUCAAGUGAUCCACCCACCUUGGCCUCCCAAAGUGCUGGGGUUACAGGCAUGAGCCACUGCACCUGGCCCAGAGCAUUCAUUUAAAUCAGACAUGCCAUCUCAUUUAAAACCCUCCAAUCCUAUUCCACUUUAAAUAAGUUCCAAAUCCCCCUACUAUGAUGCUGUGGGCUGAAUUAUGUAUCCCUCACCCUAACCCCCUCCAAAUUCUAAGUCCUAACCCUCAUUGUUUCCUUCCAAAUCCUACCUUCUUUAGAGUUAGGGCCUCUGUGGAGGUACUUAUGUUAAAAUGAUUUCAUUUGACUGGGCCUUAAUCCGAUAUGACUGGCAUCCUUAUAAGAAAGGCAUACACCGACACAAGCAGAAGGCAGACCACGUGAAGACAUAGGGAAAAGUCAGCAUUCUACAAACCAAAGAGAGCAGCCCAGAACAGAUCCUUGUCUCACAGCCCUCAGAAGGAACCAACCCUGCUGACACCUUGAUCUUCAACUUCUAGCCUUUGAACUGCAAGAAAAUACAUUUCAGUCACUUUAAGCCACCCUGCCAGCGGCACUUUGUGUGGCAGCUCGAGGAAGCAGAUGCCUGCCACUUGCUCCUGGCUCACCUAAGCCAUGGCAGCCUCCUUUCACUUCUUUGCAAAUACUCUUCCAUCUUAGGGCCUUUGCAUGUGUGUUUUUUUUCUGCCUAGAACAUUUUUUUCUUCUUGUUUUGAGACAGAGUCUUACUCUGUCACUCACGCUGGAGUGCAGUGACGUGAUCAUAGCUCACUGCAGCCUCAACCUCCCUGGGCUCAAGUGAUUCUCCUACCUCAGCCUCCUGACGAGCUAGGACUACAGGCAUGUGCCACCACUCCCAGCUAAUUUUUUUUUUUUUUUUUUUGAGACGGAGUCUUGCUUUGUUGCCCAGGCUGGAGUGCAGUGGCGUGAUCUCUGCUCACUGUAACCUCUGCCUCCUGGGUUCAAGCUAUUCUCCUGCGUCAGCCUCCUGAGUAGCUGGGACUACAGGCAUGUGCCACUACGCCUGGCUAAUUUUUUGUAUUUUUAGUAGAGAUGGGUUUCACCAUAUUAGCCAGGAUGGUAUCCAUCUCCUGACCUCGUGAUCCACCUGCCUCGGCCUCCCAGCUAACUUUUUUUGUAGAGACAGGGUCUUGCUAUGUUGCUCGGGCUGGUCUCAAAUUCCUGGGCUCAGGAGAUCCUCCUACCUUGGCUUCCCAAAGUGCUGGGAUUACAGGCAUGAGCCACCACAACCAGCCUCUAGAACAGUCUUACUUCCCUUCCUCAAUGCUCAUUCCCUCUUAUUCCUCCACUCUCAGCCUCAUUUCACCCCUUUAGUGAAGCUUUUAAUUCCUUUCUUACCUAAAGAGUUCUGCCUGUUGUUCUCUACCCUAACACACUGUAAAUUUUCUUUAUUGCACUUACCACAAUGUAUAAUUAGACGUUUCUUUGUUUAUUUGUUGCUUUUCUCUCCCCCUAGAGUGUAGAGUCUCAAGGACAGGAAUUGCAUCUGUGUUAUUUGCCAGAGCGUCUCCAGCAUACAACACAGUUCAUGGAACCCAGUGCGUGCCCAGCAACGAUCAGUUGAAUGACUAGAGUAGUGAUUCUCAACCCUGGCUGCACAGGAGAGUCACUCGGGGGUGCUUUAAGAAACAAUGAUCCUUGAUUUUCACCCCCGUGAGAUGCUGAGUCAGUCCCAUGCAACUAGAUUGAGGACAAGAGGAUAAGGGAAACCAUUUCCUUUUCAAUCUGUGAAGGAGGUUGAUUUUGUGUUCCAAGCCUGUGAUCAUUAACUGUUUUCCAGCUCUACCAGCAUCCUGUCCAAGCCUUUAAGAUGAGGAACAAAUUCUAUGUGAGGAGAAAUGGCAAAAAUUGACUGGAAGGCUUGCUGGUCUUGUGAGAUACUGAACUGGAGACAGCAGAAAAAUGCAUCCUCCUGAUAUUGUGAGCAACCUCCUCUCUUCUUCCCUCUCUCCUCUUCUUCCCUUUCUUCUGUUUUCCCUUCUAGGAGCCAAGAGCAUAGGCUCUGGAACCAGCCUGCCUGGUUUGAAUCAUGCCUCUGCCUGGGGAUCUUGGGCAGGUUGCUUGGUCUCUCUGAGCCUGUUUUUUUCAUCUGUGCAAGAAUCACAACUCUCUUGUGAGAAUUUAAUGUGCUAAUCUGCAUAAAGCACAUAGACAACUGUCUGGCUCAUGAUGGGAGUGUAACUGUGGUUAUUUCUUCCUAUUUUCUUCCCUCCCUUCCAACAGAAGAAAGUCUCUGAGAUGCGUGUCUUAUGUGGCAUAUGCUGGACUUGGUGCCUGGGGUUCAUUGGCAGACUAGUCCCUCUGGUACCUCCAGCAAGGAAGAUAGAUGUUAAUUAUUAAUUGAUACCCAUUGUGAUAAAUCUCACAAGGUACCAUGAAUGGGUAUAACAGCUCCCUUUCUGUGGAGGAGGUGGAGGUGAUAGGUAAGACUUCCUGGAGGAAGUAACAUUUGAACAGAGAUCUGAAAGAUAAAAUACUUCCAGGAGGAGUGUGUGUGUGUGUAAGUCAGUCAACAUCAGAACACCUCCAGCAGUGGAAACAGUGUAUAGGAAGCUCUGAAGUAGGAAGGAUCCUCUGUUAAUGGUUUUUUUGUUGUUGUUUUCCCUCUUCGAGACAGAGUCUCAGUCUGUUGCCCAGGCUGGAAUGCAGUGGCACAGUCUCAGCUCACUGCAACCUCUGCCUCCCAGGUUCAAGCGAUUCUCGUACUUCAGCCUCCUGAGUAGCUGGGAUUACAGGUAUGCACCACCAUGCCCCAAUCAUUUUGUAUUCUUAAUAGAGAUAGGGUUUCUCAAACUCCUGGCCUCAAGUGAUCCGCCUGCCUCAGCCUCCCAAAGUGCUGGGAUUACAAGUGUGAGCCACCAUGCCUGACCCAUUAAUGUUUUGAAUAGGUAAUACUUUCGCAUGGUCCAAAUUCCAAAAAAUACAAAAGGAUAAACAGUGAAAUGUCUCCCUUUUUCCAUUUACCACCUUCCCCCUACCUCUAUCCCUGAAGCAACAAAUGAACCAAUUUCUUUGGUAUUCUUCUAGAAAUAUCCUGUGCAUACAUAAGCAAAAUGUAUGUGUGUAUGGUGUAUAUACAUAUAUACACACACUAUAUAUAGUGUGUAUAUGUGUAUAUAUAUACUAUAUAUAGUGUGUAUAUAUAUACACUAUAGUGUGUAUAUGUAUAUAUACUAUAUAUAGUGUGUAUAUGUGUAUAUAUAUACUACAUAUAGUGUGUAUAUGUAUAUGUGUAUAUAUACACAUAUAUAUACUAUAUAUAGUGUGUAUAUGUAUAUGUGUAUAUAUAGUGUGUAUAGUUUAUGUAUAUACAUAUCCACACUAUAUAUAGUAUAUAUAUGAUAUUCACAUAUCAUCUUUUAUUUUUUAAUAUGAAAAAUGCUUCUCCGUUAUUUGCUUUUUUCACCUUUCUCUUAAAUACGUAUCUUGGAGAUCCUUCCUUAUGAGUACACAGUUAACUUUCUUAUUUUCUUUUCUGAGUGGCAGAGUACACCAUGUAGUACCCUAUAAUUUGUUUAAGCAACCUCCUACUGAUGGAUGUUUGGGUUAUUUCUACUCUUCUGCUAUUAUUUAAAAAAACUAUAAUCGAUAAUCUGAUACCGGUGCAAUUUGCUCCUGUGCAACUGUCUGUGGGAUAAAUUUCUAAAAGUGUAAUAGUUGGGUCAAAUGACACACUUUUCUCCACAGAGGUUGUAAAAAAUUUACACCCACCCCUCAAGGAAUGUUUGAGUUCCCAUAGUGGCAUCAAGCACCAUGUAUUAUUGAGUUCUUUUUAAUUUUGCCAAUCUGAUAGGUGAAAAUUCAUAUCUCAGCAUAGUUUUAAUUUGCAUUUAUCUUACUCUGAAUAACACAGAGCGUGUUUUCAUUUGCCCAAGAAUCACUUGUGUUUCUUUUCUUACGAACUGUUCUUAUCUUUUGUCCAUUUUUCUGUGAUGAAUCUGCUCUUUUGCUUAUUGAUUUUAUACAUUAGGGGAAUUAGCCAUUUUCCACGCCAUGCUUCA